Molecule: long non-coding RNA, 268 nt
Filed under: Lathyrus oleraceus (garden pea)
Lineage: Eukaryota; Viridiplantae; Streptophyta; Magnoliopsida; Fabales; Fabaceae
Description: Pisum sativum (pea) long non-coding RNA (PSAT_LNC015783)
Source: RNAcentral
GAAACUCGAUGUUUACAGGCACCGAACAAUGAUGUUGACAUGACAUCAAACAAUGAUGCGGACAGACAUCAAACAAUGAUGCGGACAGACAUCAAACAAUGAUGCGGACAGACAUCAAACAAUGAUGCAGACAGACAUCAAACAAUGAUGCAGACAGACAUCAAACAAUGAUGCGGACAGACAUCAAACAAUGAUGCGGAACAGACAUCAAAACAAUGAUGCAGACAGACAUCAAACAAUGAUGCGGACAGACAUCAAACAAUGAUGC